UUUGCUUCUUACUGGUGAACUGUCUUUGAUUCAGAAUGGGGGGAUGUUCAUGUUUCCAAAGAAUAAAUUAAUUUCUAUAUGUUUCUUGCCAUUAUUAACAAUACAAUCCUGGUGUGUUC
Macadamia integrifolia is the source of this 119-nucleotide small nucleolar RNA. RefSeq annotates it as small nucleolar RNA snoR137. The record is from RefSeq and is a predicted model, not a curated record. NCBI's taxonomy places the organism in Eukaryota, Viridiplantae, Streptophyta, Magnoliopsida, Proteales, Proteaceae. The transcript has a single exon.